Long non-coding RNA from Vigna angularis (adzuki bean), 2672 nucleotides. RefSeq lists it as uncharacterized. The transcript has 2 exons. The record is from RefSeq and is a predicted model, not a curated record. NCBI's taxonomy places the organism in Eukaryota, Viridiplantae, Streptophyta, Magnoliopsida, Fabales, Fabaceae.
UAAAUUAGAUUUCGUCUUUCUCGAAAAUAACUUUCAUUCUCACACCGUGCCCAUGCUUCAUCUUCUUCUUGACCAGAAUCACUGCGAGCAUGGUGGCGACGGUACUGGUGCGGCCAGCUCCACUCUCCACUCCUUCUUCUUCUUCUGCACCUUCGUCAAAUGGUUGAAGCUGUCGUCAUUCAGAUCUCCGUCAUCGACGACAGUAGUUGCUUCUGGCCUCACCGACACCGUUGUGAGCUCCCUCCCUUUCUUCAUUCGAUUUUUUCAUCUGGUGGGAGGGGUUUUGCUCUUCCUUCUUCAUUCUUCCCAAAUCUGGUUCCCUAUGGAGGAUCUAGCGAGGCGUGUCACCGCAUUCGGUAUCAGUCAGAGUAAUCGUCGUGCGAUGCAAUAUAGGGUUUUCAUCCUCCCUUUCUUCUGCUAGUAAAUUUAAAUUUGAUUUGAGUAUAAUGUGAUGGUGAAAAGGAUAUAGAUUUGGUAAUGGAGACAGAGAGAAAAGAAAACCGUGUUCCUUUUGUGAUAUCCUCUGUCAUGGCUUCCUUGGUUUUCUUGUUCAACAUUCUAAUUUUUUUUUAACAUUCUUCCAUAUAUUUUAAAGUAUGAAUGAAUUCAUAAACUUGGUUUUGUUUUUUGCAGCUCAACAUCAAUCACGGUAUUGAAUAAUAAUUCUUAUUAGAUAAAAAGAGAUAAGGUAUUGAAUAAUAAUGCUUAUCAGAUAAAAAGAGCUAAGGUAUACUAAUUAUUAUUAUGCAAGACAUAUUGACAAACUGGUUGUGUUCAAACUAUGUGGUUAAUCUCAUUUUACAAUGGUAGUUUAAAAAAAGACUGGGAGUUUCUCCUAAUGCCAGUGGGAAAGUGAAGAUAAAGAUAUCAAAGAAGGAGUUGGCAUAACUUUAUGAGAAGCAACACCAGAGAGCUUCUGCAGAACAAGUUCUGCUUCGCUUGAUAAAAGCCAGAAAUGAUGUUAAAGUAAAGGUCCUGUAUAACGAGCUUAAUCUUAAGGUUUGAACUUCAUCUACAUCUACCCCAUUAAUAAUUCCAUAGCCUUCUUUUCUUUGCAUCACUUGGUUUCUGUCUUCUCAAAAGUUUAUGUUAAAGAAUAUUUUUUUUUAACAUCAGUCAGUAUUUUAUUUUAAAAUGUACAUUAAUUAUAUCAGUAAUAUGAACCUAAGGAACUAAUUAUUGAAAUGUUAAAUGUGCUUAUGCCUUAUGUUGAAUUAAAGGGGCAAAUUACAGGUUAUAAAUUAUUUUAUAAAUAGUGGUAUGGGUGUAGAUUUUAUAUAUACCUAAGUAUGUUUCUAGGAUGCAAUAGUCUCUGUUUGCAUGUCUCUGAUAGAGUGCAGAUUCAAUAUUUUGAUAAAGAAAGUAACAAAGAAUGUAUUGAAAUAUGUAGCAUUUCUCUUUUUUAUUAGGAACCCUUAAGUGAAUAGUUUUUUUAUUGGCCGGUUUCUUAUGUAGUUAAUGAGUUUAUAUCAACUUAUCUUUUUCAAGUUUUAACAGAGAUUAUUGAGAAUGUUGUCUUAUACAGAGAUUGAGCAGUUGAAGGUUGAUUUGCAGAAGCAAGAAUUUGUUGUUUCUGAAUACAGGGAUGAGAUCAAAUAGAUUGUCCAGUGAUGUGGAAAGCAUCCCAAAGGUUGAGGCUGAUCUUCUGGAAAUGAAAAGGGAAGGGAAUCAGUUAGAACAAUUCUUAACUGAGAGCAAUAACAUGUUACAAAAAUUUACAGUACAUAAUAACAAGCAAGAGAGAUCAGAAUUACAUGAAAAAUUUAAAUAAAUUUAUGAUAAAAAUGUUAAUGAUUGUUUAAUCUGUCAUAAACUUGAACACGAGAAUAUAACAUCAGAUCAAAACUCAAAUACAACAUUGUAUAUGUUAUUAAUAGUUGUUUAAUAUCUAAAAUAUGUCUUAAAUAUAUGGAUAAGCCAUUUUUAGUUAUUUUGCCUAUGUUUUCCCGUUUUGAUGGGAUGGUUUUUUUAUGAUAAAGGUUCACGUGACGUAUGUGACUUUAUUGCAACAUGCAUCUUCCUCCAAAAAGUAAUUAUACAUAAUGCAUUACAAGACUAUAAUUAUGGCCAACUUUCUAUUAUAUUGUUCUUUCGUUUAACUGUAUUUCUUUGUUGUUUCCCCCAUUUCCUUCGGCAAUGGGUGAGCUGUAUUGUUUGGUGAAAAUUACAUGCCAUCUUUCUGAUAUGGUCACAUCCUGUUCCCAAUUAUUCUGUGAGUAUGAUUUCAACUUCUAAGUAAAAACAGUGGAAAUAGCAGUUAAAAUAAGAGUUAUAUUUCAUUUCCAAACUCAGUAAUCUAGUGUGUAUAUAAAUAUGCAUUGAGAAUUGAAAGAUACACAAUCCACUACUGCUGAUUAAGUAAACACAGAAAUGGUAAGAUUUAAUUUCAAUUUUUUUAGAAAUGACAAGGUAUAAUGUGUCUUUGAAUAUGCACUCUACUUUUAUGACAAAUUGCAACAGCGGACCCUGAAGGAGUUAGAGAACAAGUGUAUAAUUUCAAAAAAGAAGAGGUAAACAGGUAUUUGAAAAAGGAAGCAUAUCAAAUGAUGGAAAAAAUGAAGAAGUACCAAAUGACGAAGUUAAUGAAAAAGUAUCAAAUGAAGAAGACAAUUGAAGAAGUACAAAACUAUAAUUAUUAUUCAUAACAUGUUAAUUUUAAUUUUUAAGAAACA